GUCGAGCGGACUUGACGGAAGCUUGCUUCCGUUCAAGUUAGCGGCGGACGGGUGAGUAACACGUGGGUAACCUGCCUGUAAGACUGGGAUAACUCCGGGAAACCGGGGCUAAUACCGGAUAUUCUUUUUCUUCGCAUGAAGAAGAAUGGGAAAGGCGGCUUUUAGCUGUCGCUUACAGAUGGACCCGCGGCGCAUUAGCUAGUUGGUGAGGUAACGGCUCACCAAGGCAACGAUGCGUAGCCGACCUGAGAGGGUGAUCGGCCACACUGGGACUGAGACACGGCCCAGACUCCUACGGGAGGCAGCAGUAGGGAAUCUUCCGCAAUGGACGAAAGUCUGACGGAGCAACGCCGCGUGAGUGAAGAAGGUUUUCGGAUCGUAAAGCUCUGUUGUCAGGGAAGAACAAGUACGGAAGUAACUGUCCGUACCUUGACGGUACCUGACCAGAAAGCCACGGCUAACUA
This 464-nucleotide ribosomal RNA is filed under the name uncultured Bacillus sp. Its description in RNAcentral is "bacterial SSU rRNA". It matches the Rfam family "Bacterial small subunit ribosomal RNA", at positions 61 to 503 of the family's 1533-position model. Lineage: Bacteria; Bacillati; Bacillota; Bacilli; Caryophanales; Bacillaceae. The record is from RNAcentral.